This 1003-nucleotide long non-coding RNA is filed under the name Rattus norvegicus (Norway rat). RNAcentral describes it as "long non-coding RNA NONRATT004762". The record is from RNAcentral. Lineage: Eukaryota; Metazoa; Chordata; Mammalia; Rodentia; Muridae.
ACCAAUUGCCCUCCACCUUCCCCUUUGACAACCUGGAGACCCUCACUCUCACCAACAACCCAUGGAAAUGCACAUGCCAGCUCCGUGGCCUUCGACGGUGGUUGGAAGCCAAGACUUCUCGACCAGAUGCUACCUGCUCUUCACCAGCCAAGUUCAAGGGUCAGCGUAUUCGUGACACGGAUGCCCUCCGCAGCUGCAAAUCCCCCACCAAGAGGUCCAAGAAAGCUGGCCGCCAUUAAACAGGUGGGGCCGGGUAGGGAGGCCACCACCGUCUGCCUUUGGUGCUGCCCCAUUUCCAGAUGGGGUGCUAGACCCUAUGACACCACCUCUGGACGGGCAAUCAGAGCCUCUGUCUUACAAGAAAAGGGAGGACUGGGUGUCCUCUCCAAGGGCUUGGCCUAGGACGUCCCUGGUUCCCUUUGAUGCCUCUGGGUAAUUGGAGUCCUAAUCCCCAUCAUUCCUCACUGCAGGUCCUGAUCCAGCCAGUCCUGGUGACUGUUUUCCGCUGGAGAGACUACUGAUGUUCCCCCUACCAUCCGCACCUUCUCCCACAGCCUCUGUGGAUGCACAGAGCUACCCCAUACCUAGGUACAUCCUGGCAGGGGGCACUGGACUCCCUAUAGCCACCCCGGUUCCACCCAGUGGGGUCCUAGGGAGGACACAGAACUCCUCCCCAGCCACUGUGCCUGGGAUCUGCCAUGGCUCCUCUCAGAGAAGCUAUUAUAGAACCUCUGUCCAUCUGUCUAUCGGAGCUAACCAGUGGUCAUCGGGAUGACCACAUUAUUACCACCUUCCUCAAUUCCCUGCUCCCCUGCCAUUUGGAAACAAACAUCAAGCCCUUGACCCACCCUGAUUGCCAGAAAAAAUUUCAGGCUCAUGCCCCAACUGUGCCAAUCCCCCUGCCUGCCAGGGCGUGCUAACAGGAUACCAGUAGUACUUGGCUGCAUACCUUUCCAUGCUGUAUUUCUGCCCCGGAUUUCUAUAAACAUAAAUGUCUGUGUGU